Molecule: ribosomal RNA, 490 nt
Filed under: uncultured bacterium
Lineage: Bacteria
Description: partial 16S ribosomal RNA
Rfam family: Bacterial small subunit ribosomal RNA
Source: RNAcentral
AUUGAACGCUGGCGGCAGGCCUAACACAUGCAAGUCGAACGGUAACAGGAAGCAGCUUGCUGCUUUGCUGACGAGUGGCGGACGGGUGAGUAAUGUCUGGGAAACUGCCUGAUGGAGGGGGAUAACUACUGGAAACGGUAGCUAAUACCGCAUAACGUCGCAAGACCAAAGAGGGGGACCUUCGGGCCUCUUGCCAUCGGAUGUGCCCAGAUGGGAUUAGCUAGUAGGUGGGGUAACGGCUCACCUAGGCGACGAUCCCUAGCUGGUCUGAGAGGAUGACCAGCCACACUGGAACUGAGACACGGUCCAGACUCCUACGGGAGGCAGCAGUGGGGAAUAUUGCACAAUGGGCGCAAGCCUGAUGCAGCCAUGCCGCGUGUAUGAAGAAGGCCUUCGGGUUGUAAAGUACUUUCAGCGGGGAGGAAGGGGGUAAAGUUAAUACCUUUGCUCAUUGACGUUACCCGCAGAAGAAGCACCGGCUAACUCCGUG